Agrilus planipennis (emerald ash borer) is the source of this 1302-nucleotide long non-coding RNA. RefSeq lists it as uncharacterized. Lineage: Eukaryota; Metazoa; Arthropoda; Insecta; Coleoptera; Buprestidae. The record is from RefSeq and is a predicted model, not a curated record. The transcript has 4 exons.
CACUUGAUACAGGUCCGAAAAGUCAGUUUAAGUAACACUAAUCGUUUGUUCGUAAUUGUUCGUCAGAAAUAGUCCCACCUUUUAGAAAAUGUAACUUUUUUGCUUUAAAUUGAUUAAUUAAUAUUCAGUAUCGUACAUUCGACGAUCAUUUACAUUUGUUCGAUUGUAAGUAAUGUUUAAUUACAAUUUUAUCAAUACAUAUUUUUAUUGAAUUUUUUAUUGAUAUUACUAAUACGCGUGUGCGUGUCGAAAAUAUGCAUUUUAUCACGUCACCUAUUAGAAAUUACCAUAGAAAUUAUAAAUCUGUAAUCUAUUGUUCUUCAUUUAUGUUGAGGUGCAUUGAAGUUUGAGGUUAUACGUCUAAUGGCGUUUGCUAAAGACAUUUACGCACUGUUCUUAAUUCAAUGCUGUUAAUAUGCCCAUUCAAUAAAAAUAUUUAAAAAAUGUAAUUAAACAUUAUUUAUCAUUGAACAAACCAUACUGAAUAUUGAUUGAUCGAUUUAAAGAAAAAAGUUAUUUUUUCUACAAGGACGGAUAAGUUGACAGUGAAAAUUUGUUUAAUUUUUUAUAAAUAAACGAAAGACGAACAAACGAUUAAUACUGAUAAACAAUUACGAACAAACUAUUAGAGCCAAUAAGAAAAAGUAAAAAAAGUUCUUGGACGGUUUAACUUUUCGGGCUUACUUGAUACCCGACUUAUAUAUCUUAUCUAUGUGCACAUAUAACAUUUAAACAUUUAAUACAUUUGAAACAUUAAUCAGGGUAUGAAAUGCAGGGUAUGAAAUGUCGAGCGCGAGCGACACCUAAGUUUACCCCACGUAAGUUUUUAAAUUUUUUAAAUUGCCAAAAUCGACAUUACCGACAUACUAGGCGACAUACAUUUUACUGAAACGACAACAGAUGAUGCGACGGCGGUUGCGAUUAUCGGAGGAAUUCCCCAGUAGUUGUGGCGUUAUUGAGCAAUAGUGAGUAGUUUCACAACUUGUUAUAUUUUAAAAUUUUUGUGAAAAGUACUUUUACCUAUCCUGAAAAAAAACCGUGAUGUACAGUCUACACUAUUACGGGGUCAAAUUAAUUUGAAAUGUUCUACCUAGAUUAUACAGUUCCUGCAGGAGUUAAAGGUGAAGAAGCCGCUUUCCAUUUUCCUGAAGUAACAGCGGUUCCAACGAAAGUGGCAGAACUUCUUCUAAUAGAGGAAUAGAAGCAGACGGAAUUGCCCCAUUAAAAGAUGAAAAAGUACUGCAUCCAGUGAAAACAUAUGACGGGAAAAGAAGAAUUGUUUCAACUGCAGAAAGUACACUC